UAUCUGAACCUUCGGGGAACGAUAACGGCGUCGAGCGGCGGACGGGUGAGUAAUGCCUAGGAAAUUGCCCUGAUGUGGGGGAUAACCAUUGGAAACGAUGGCUAAUACCGCAUGAUGCCUACGGGCCAAAGAGGGGGACCUUCGGGCCUCUCGCGUCAGGAUAUGCCUAGGUGGGAUUAGCUAGUUGGUGAGGUAAGGGCUCACCAAGGCGACGAUCCCUAGCUGGUCUGAGAGGAUGAUCAGCCACACUGGAACUGAGACACGGUCCAGACUCCUACGGGAGGCAGCAGUGGGGAAUAUUGCACAAUGGGCGCAAGCCUGAUGCAGCCAUGCCGCGUGUAUGAAGAAGGCCUUCGGGUUGUAAAGUACUUUCAGUCGUGAGGAAGGCGGCGUCGUUAAUAGCGGCGUUGUUUGACGUUAGCGACAGAAGAAGCACCGGCUAACUCCGUGCCAGCAGCCGCGGUAAUACGGAGGGUGCGAGCGUUAAUCGGAAUUACUGGGCGUAAAGCGCAUGCAGGUGGUUUGUUAAGUCAGAUGUGAAAGCCCGGGGCUCAACCUCGGAAUAGCAUUUGAAACUGGCAGACUAGAGUACUGUAGAGGGGGGUAGAAUUUCAGGUGUAGCGGUGAAAUGCGUAGAGAUCUGAAGGAAUACCGGUGGCGAAGGCGGCC
This 669-nucleotide ribosomal RNA is filed under the name Vibrio antiquarius. RNAcentral's name for it is "bacterial SSU rRNA". It matches the Rfam family "Bacterial small subunit ribosomal RNA", at positions 64 to 726 of the family's 1533-position model. Lineage: Bacteria; Pseudomonadati; Pseudomonadota; Gammaproteobacteria; Vibrionales; Vibrionaceae. The record is from RNAcentral.